RNAcentral lists this ribosomal RNA (253 nucleotides) under uncultured bacterium. Its description in RNAcentral is "partial 16S ribosomal RNA". It matches the Rfam family "Bacterial small subunit ribosomal RNA", at positions 524 to 776 of the family's 1533-position model. The record is from RNAcentral.
UACGUAGGGGGCAAGCGUUGUCCGGAUUUAUUGGGCGUAAAGAGCGUGUAGGCGGCCAUACAGGUCAGCUGUGAAAACUCGAGGCUCAACCUCGAGACGUCGGUUGAAACCGUAUGGCUAGAGUCCGGAAGAGGAGAGUGGAAUUCCCGGUGUAGCGGUGAAAUGCGCAGAUAUCGGGAAGAACAUCGGUGGCGAAAGCGCUCUGCUGGACUGCAACUGACACUCAGGGACGAAAGCUAGGGGAGCGAAUGGG